This is a long non-coding RNA of Bos indicus x Bos taurus (hybrid cattle), 2338 nucleotides long. Lineage: Eukaryota; Metazoa; Chordata; Mammalia; Artiodactyla; Bovidae. The record is from Ensembl.
AAACCCUCCUCACCAAGCAACAACAACCAAAAAACCCAGAGUGGCAGAGAAAGGAGGCCCUCAAAGUUAUCAAUUAAAUGAUCUUCCUUUGGUGGCUAAAGAAAUAAUGUUUGGCAAGAGGGUAGCUUUAAAGGAAGAAAAAAGAAAAAGAUGCUUUUCCUAACCAACUUCCUAGUCAUCCUCCGUCAGCAGCAGCUGUAGGAAUCCCUUCUCUGGACAAGGGCAAGGUGCCGAGGGGCCGUUUAACACCUGGCCCCAGCUCCGCUGAAAGCCUGGCCAGUAUCAAACACCGUGGAUCACAGAAAUGUUUAUGGUGGUUAUGAUACAGUGAGCCGGGGGAACGAAAUAUUUCCCACCCAGUAAUAUUUAAUGGAAAUGCUUUUGCUGAGUUGAUGAUAAGGAAUCUCUUCCUGGUGGUCAAAACCAAGGAAUUAGGAACCUAAGAUUUGACAGCUGGAAGAGAGGUAGAACUCCCACUUCCCGAGGUUAAGGAAUAUGAAUUGUGUUCAGAAAUCUUCCCACACUCCCUGGUUAGUACAUCCACUGAUUUAGAAAGUCCCAGGGGCUCUGGAAGUUUCUGAUGAUGGAUCAUCUUUUUUUUUUUUCUCCUUUCUCCCUUUCCUUCAGGGCUCCAGACAGUUGGUGCUUAAGUGUCUACAAUUUAACGUUUUCCUUGGGCUAUCGUAUGUCUACCUAUCCCGCCCAGGACAUCUCCCUAAAUAAUCUCUGAGUAGAGAGGAACGAUCCUCUCCUAGGAGAUUUAUCUGAGAAGGGAGGUGCGCGGGGCCGUGCGAAUUCCGAGGCUCGGAUUUCGUUCCGGGCAGGUCAGAUGGUGCGGUCGGCGGGCCCGAGGGAUGCGCGCAGCUGUCCCCGCAAGAGGCGCGGCGCACAGGUGCUCGGCCUCCCGCCCCCGAAGUCGCAGGGAAGCUGCCGCACAGACACGCGGCUUCUUUGCCUCCAGAACCGAAGUCUAGUGUUGGCCUUUCAACUCAGGUAAGAUUGAAAACAAGCCUUAUGUGGCACAGUCUGUGUCAUCUCCAUGUUACCAUUUGGUGUCACGCAUCACGGGUCACAUCACUAAUUUGAUAUGUAGUUGUUGUUUCCUUUUGCGUCCUAAGUUGUGUCCACCUCUUUUGUGACCCCAUGGACUGUAGCCCGCCAGGCUCUGCUGUCCAUGGGAUUUCCCAGACAAGAAUAUAGGAGUGAGUUGCCAUUUCCUUCUCCAGGGGAUCUUCCUGACCUAUGGAUUGAACAUGCAUCUCCUACAUUGCAAGUGGAUUCUUUACCAACUGAGCCACCAGGGAAGCUCUUUCCUUACUUUUAUUAAUGUCCAUAUUCAUGCUUUGAGAUGAGUGUAUUUCUCAUGAGAUUGUCAGCUCUACACAAAUAAGGCUUUUAUUAGCCCUUUUGUACCGUGCUUUGUAUAUACAAUUAGAAAUAAUAUAAUAGAAUUAUAAGAACUCUAUUUUCUGAGACAUGCACACUUUCAGACUUUGGUUUACUGAGUGAGCAUGGACCAUAACAUAUUAACAAUGUGAUGUGUAUAUGAUUUUAGCUAGUGCUCAAUAUGUGUGAAAUUAUAUACAAAAUUUGAAUGGAAAAACGCUAAGGUCUCACUGUUACCUGCUUCAUGUUAGAAAAUAAUAUCAGAAUAUUAGUUCCAAUAUGUAUAGCCUACAUCUGAUAGAGAUCCUUUAAUUUUUGUUUCUCAAAUUAAAAGCAUUCAAUUUUCUCUAGAAAAUGCUUGUUUCUCUCAACCUCAUUAUGAAAACAUUUUCUGCAUACUUUGCCUAAAAUUACCUUGUUUUUUGUUUUAAUUACACAACUCCAAAUCACUUUUCCUCAUUAGUAUUUGAUAAUUAUAAGCAAAGAAGCAAAUAUAAAAACAAGAAGUCCAUGAGCAGUGCAGUCAUGCAUUUUCUGCUUCUCUCUGUUGAUAGCACUGAUGAAGUGUAUUUAAUUUCAAUCUGCUGAAUGACCACAUUCAUAAUUCGUGUUCAUUUCCAUUCCAGGAUGAUUUCUUUCCAGUUUGAUUCAAUAUACAUAAUUUUUCCUUAAGCAUACAUGUCCACAUUCCUUUGAACUUGUUUUUGUCUGGGGAAGGAGGAAAGAAAUUAACCCUCAUUUUGUAUCUCCUUUUGACACAGCCUGUUUUUGGCACUUGCCACAUAUUACCUCAUUUGAUUCUGUGUACAAUCUUGGGAAGCUGGAAUUAUUAUUCUUACUCUAAAGAUGAAAAACUGAUGGCUAGAAACCAACGUGCCCAAGAUUGUUUAAUUAGGAAAUGGCAGAGCCAGAAUUCAAUAAAACCAUCCUCUUUUGGUUAUUGGUUUUAAUG